Molecule: ribosomal RNA, 468 nt
Filed under: uncultured bacterium
Lineage: Bacteria
Description: bacterial SSU rRNA
Rfam family: Bacterial small subunit ribosomal RNA
Source: RNAcentral
GAGUUUGAUCAUGGCUCAGAACGAACGCUGGCGGCAGGCUUAACACAUGCAAGUCGAACGCCCCGCAAGGGGAGUGGCAGACGGGUGAGUAACGCGUGGGAAUCUACCCAGAUCUACGGAACAACAGUUGGAAACGACUGCUAAUACCGUAUACGCCCUACGGGGGAAAGAUUUAUCGGAUUUGGAUGAGCCCGCGUAAGAUUAGCUAGUUGGUGAGGUAAUGGCUCACCAAGGCGACGAUCUUUAGCUGGUCUGAGAGGAUGAUCAGCCACACUGGGACUGAGACACGGCCCAGACUCCUACGGGAGGCAGCAGUGGGGAAUAUUGGACAAUGGGCGCAAGCCUGAUCCAGCCAUGCCGCGUGAGUGAUGAAGGCCUUAGGGUUGUAAAGCUCUUUCAGUGGGGAAGAUAAUGACGGUACCCACAGAAGAAGCCCCGGCUAACUUCGUGCCAGCCGCCGCGUAAUAC